Molecule: long non-coding RNA, 2937 nt
Filed under: Sus scrofa (pig)
Lineage: Eukaryota; Metazoa; Chordata; Mammalia; Artiodactyla; Suidae
Description: lncRNA (ENSSSCG00025042293.1)
Source: RNAcentral
AGGCUUGCUUAUAAAUUGUUUUAGAGUAAACAAUCUCUUUGUACCUCAUUAUGCACUUUACCAGGAACAUGGUGUGCAGUUCUGGUCAGCAGCCCUCAACAAAGACAUGAUUAAAGUGAGAGAGUCCAGAGAACGUUAACUAACAUGGGUGAAAGAAUAGGCUUCUCUAGUGAUUAAUUAACAUAAAUUGGUGAAUUCAUUCAUUGAAUGUUUUUCUGAAUGUAACAUAAAAAGAGGGCUCUGUUUACAAAGAGUGGAGGCUGAGGGAGAGGAUAUGAUUAAAAUCUAUAAAAUUAUGAAAACUGUUUUCUUAUUUAUUGAAUUCUGGUAUACCAGAACUCAGAAACUUUUUUUUAAUGAUUGUUUUUUUUUUAUUAUAGUUGGUUUACAGUGUUCUAUCAGUUUCUACUGUACAGCAAAGUAACCCAGUCUCACACACACACACACACACAUAUACACAUUCAGAACUCAGAAACUUAAAAAAGGUCUCCAGUGAGUAGAAACUUGUGGAAUGCAUUAUCCCAGGAUGUGGUACAGGUUGAAAAUAUAAAAUAGAUAUAUUAAAAGUUUAGAUAACCUCAUGAAUAACAGAUUGGGGGAACAGUGACACUUGAGGGUAUGUAUACAAUUCUUUUUUUUUUUUUGCUUUUUAGGGCCGCAAGUGCAGCAUGUGGAAAAUCCCAGGCCAGGGGUCAAAUUGGAGCUGUAGCUGCUGGCCUACACCACAGCCACAGCAACUGGGAUCUGAUCUGUGUCUGUGACCUACACCACAGCUCAUAGCAAAGCUGAAUCUUUAACCCAGUGAGUGAGGCCGGGGAUCAAACCUUCGUCCUCAUGGGUGCUAGUCAGAUUCAUAUCCACUGAGCCAUGAUGGGAACUCCUCUUUUGAAUUUCAUUGCUGUUUUUGUGAAGUCAUCUGUCAAACUGUUGCUCUUUUGGAAGCAAUCUGUCCUUUUUUUUCUUUCUGGCUGCUUUCACAUUUUUUUGUGUAAUGCAGUUUUGCUGUGAUGUUUCCUUAGAUGCAUUUUAUUUUAUUUGCCUGCUCAAGAUUCACUGUGAUUCAUUAAUUUGGAUUGGUGACUUUUAUCACUUCUAAAAAAAUUUAGUUAUUACUUCUUCAAAUUUUGUUUUUCUUCCUGCCUCGUUGUUUUUCUCUUCUCCUUCUGGAAUUCCAGUUAAACAUAUAUUUGCUCUCAUUCCUUAGCCCAUAUUUCUUUUUUUUUAGGACUGCACCAGUGGCACAUGGAGGUUCCCAGGCUAAGGGUUGAAUUGCAGCUGUAGCUGUCAGCCUAAGCCACAGCCACAGAAAUGCUAGAUUCAAGCUGCAUCUAUACCACAAGCUCAAGGCAAUGCUGGAUCCUAAAACACUGAGCAAGGCCAGGGAUCAUACCUGCAUCCUCAUGCAUCCUAGUCGCUUAGCCCAUAUUUCUUUUUUUAAUUUUAUUUUGCUUUUUUAUUUUUAAAUUAAAGUAUAGUUGAUUUACAAUGUUUCUUCAAUCUCUGUUGUACAGCAGAGUGACCCAAACACACAUGGUUCCCUGUGCUGCACAGUAGGACCCCAUUCCAACUUAUCCUUUCCAAAUGUAACAGUUUGCAUCCACCAACCCCAAAUUCCCCGUCCAACUCACUUCCUCCCUUCUCCUCACGGCAACCACAAGUCUGCUCUCUGUGAUCGUGAUCUGCUUCUGUUUUGUAGCUAGGAUCAUCUGUGCCAUAUUUUAGAUUACACAUAUAAGUGAUGUUAUAUGUUAGCCCAUGUCUCUCAACCUUUCUUGUAUAUUUCCAUUUUUUUCCUACUAUGCUGCAUUCUGAAUAAUUUCUUUUCCCCUACCUUCUAGUGUACUAAUUUUCCCCUUAUCUAUGUCUAGAUUGCAGUUGAAUCCAUUCAUUGAGGUUCUUUUUUUAACCUUUUUAUUUGGAAAUAACUUUAAAUAUUUAAAAUAUAUGGAUAAGUUGAAAAACAAAAACAGCGCAAAAAAAAAAAUCUGUAAACUCUUUGCCCAGAUACACCUAUCAAGAUUGUACUCCAUUUGCUUAAUCAUUUGUGCUCUGUCUUGCUCUAUGUAUAAUUUUAUAUAUUAUAUAAACUAUAGGUAUUAAUAUGUAUGCAUGUAAAUAAUUUUUCUGAAGCAUAAGCAUAACUUUAUGUAACUACAGUAAUCAAUUUCAAAAAAUUUACAUGGUAAAUUUAAGUUCAACAUAUAGAAAUUAUUGGUACUGUGCUUUUAUCUAAUCUGCUAUAUUCCAUUUUUCAGUUGACUCAAGAAUGUCUUUUACAGCAUUUCUAUCCCCUCUAGUAGUGACCAGUCUAGGUUCAGGUAUUGUAUUCAUUUGUCAUGUCUCCUAAGCCUCCUCUAAUCUGGAACACUUCCUUAGCCUUUAUCUUUUAUGAUAUUUACAUUUUAGAAGCAUAGCCCCCAUGCCUACCUUUUAAAAAUAAAAUAUUCCUAACUUGGAGUUUGUCUGAUGUUCCCUCAUAAUUAGAGUCAGGUUAUACAUUCUCGGCAAGUAUACCACAUCAGUGAUGCUGUGUCUUUUUCAGGGUGUCUUAUCUGUAGGCAGUGAUAACAGUUCUAAUCUAUCAGUCAGUUUAUUGAUUUUACCACAGUGAAAUUACUUUUUCCUCUCUUUUACAAUAAUAAGUCAUUUUUGAGGUAACACUUUUAGAUUAUACAAAUACCCUUCCUCUGGAAGGGGGAAGUGAGGAGUUGCUGUUCAGUGGGUAUAAAGUUUCAGUUAUGCAAGAUGAAUAAGUUCCAGAAAUCUGCUGUACAACAUUGCGCCUGUGGUUAAAAAUGUUGUAUUGUAGACCUAAAAGUUAGCUAAGAGGGUAAAUAGCAUGUUGAGCAUUACCUUAAUUAAGAAAUAAACUCUAUGUCUAUAGAAGAUAAAUCAAGUAAGUAAGUUAGAUGUGCAUGCAAAAAAAAAAAAAAAAAA